GAGUUUGAUCAUGGCUCAGAACGAACGCUGGCGGCAUGCCUAACACAUGCAAGUCGAACGAUCACUUCGGUGAUAGUGGCGCACGGGUGCGUAACGCGUGGGAAUCUACCCUUGGGUUCGGAAUAACAGUUAGAAAUGACUGCUAAUACCGGAUGAUGACGUAAGUCCAAAGAUUUAUCGCCCAAGGAUGAGCCCGCGUAGGAUUAGCUAGUUGGUGAGGUAAAGGCUCACCAAGGCGACGAUCCUUAGCUGGUCUGAGAGGAUGAUCAGCCACACUGGGACUGAGACACGGCCCAGACUCCUACGGGAGGCAGCAGUGGGGGAAUAUUGGACAAUGGGCGAAAGCCUGAUCCAGCAAUGCCGCGUGAGUGAUG
This 374-nucleotide ribosomal RNA is filed under the name uncultured bacterium. RNAcentral's name for it is "bacterial SSU rRNA". It matches the Rfam family "Bacterial small subunit ribosomal RNA", at positions 9 to 410 of the family's 1533-position model. The record is from RNAcentral.